UUAGUUCCCCAGUGUUGGUCCUUUGCGUCUGUAGGAUAGUCAGACAGUAGUUGUCCUCAAGUGUGUGAGAAGUUUUCAUUCAUCAGACACUAUGAGUGGGAAGGCUCUUUAUGUACAUCUCACAGAGAAGGAAAAAAAAAAUCUAGAAUGGGAAGACUGAAAAGAUCAAGAUCGGCCUACCACCCCAACCUGGCAGGGCUCCCUGCUGAGACCCUCUGGUGGUCUCAGAGAUAAGGUUCAAAAGGAGUUUAUCCCCAGACUGCAGUGGGACAGCAAGAACCUAAGUAGCCUCCGGCCUUAGCUCCACCCCUACCCCGCAGUUACCUUCUAGAUAAAGGAGAGUUUGUGACAUCAGAAAACCUGGCAACUACACUAAAGACACGCCCCACCGCUGCCACCACAGCCUCUUAAGCCUGACUUUGAAGACUGUCCAUAAUAGACACAGGCUGGGUGCUUGUAGUUAGCCCCACGGCUAGAGUCUGCUGAGCAGAUGACAGAGGCAUUUCUGAAACUUUGGGAGGGUCUCUAUGAGGAAUCCAUCUCACUCCUGCUCAACCACCGCAGGCAAUGGCCAGUUAAGGUGACAACUGCCUGUUCCCAGCCACACUCUCAGCCUGUCCAUUGCUGCUGCCCUGUGUUCCCAGCUAGUGGAGCGAUGUCCUUUUCCCAUCCAACUUUUAGGCACCUGGUAUACCCAGUCCUGCCUGAUGUAAAACCGCAGAAGCAUAUGGUCUCCUAAGGGCCUCGUGUAAAAUUUGCAGUCUUUUCCUGGUCUAUGAAACCACAGUGGUCUCCCCAGAUUCCGCACUACAUUCUGUUCUUCUGGGAGCCCCCACAGCCUGCAACACCUCAUGCCAUUAGAGAAUUACUAUGCUACUCCAUUUAUACAGGAGGACACUAUUAAAUUUUGGGAGACCCAACUCAUUUUUCCAUCACCCCAAAUGCCUGGAACCUAUGCGGUCCCAGUUGCCAAAGUGCUUCCAUGAAAGCACAGAUGUUCUCUCAAAAACAAGACACCACGUUCCAGACUGCUCCCGGUGCACGUGUGGAGCCUAUAUUUCCUAGGGGAAAGAGGCCACUGGCUACAUUGCCCAGCUGCACCGGGAAGACCCUGGAGGUGGUUUCUUGGGGGAGGGAUUCCCCUAAAACACUCUGGAAACGGCGGUACUUUUGAGCUCUACAGCACACACGUAUCGCACACGUUCAGGUGUUCGAGCCUGAGCACGUGAUGGAGGAAGGGCACCCCUGUGUGUCACACCCACACCAGCACCAUCCAGGUUCACCUGGACUCUGGGAGAUGAUAAUAGGAAACCAGGAGACACUGAAAUCUGGAUCCUGGCCCCAAUCUCACCAUCCUCAAGGCCCACAUACUUGCCUCUGAACUAAGAAGUACUGGCCACCAGAGCAGGUCACAGGUACUUGAAUGUCCACAGAUAAGGAUUUGUGUGGUGAAAUAAAACCUCCCUUCACUUGCUCUCCCAUCACAUCACCCCUGUGAAGAAUUUCACUUUGACCUGCAGAGGGUCGGCCCAGGGUUGGAAGUUGCCAGGCUUAUAAUUAAGGGGUAGCUCCUGCAGGAGCAGCAAGGAUUUGCUUGGCUCACUUAAAACUUCCCUGCCCCAGCUCCUGCUCUGCUUGCAUACCCUUUGGCCCUCCUGCCUCCCCCACCUCCUCACGCAGCUCUUCAACUUGCAUGGCUUUCUUGGGAGGUUUGUAAGUGUUGGACACAAACCUAUAUCAGCUUCAGCAUAUGUGGAAGAUCAGGAUGUGGCCAUGAGAGUGUAAGAUGCUGCGGUCUGUGGAGCAGAGAAAAAGGACCUCAGUUAGAGAUGUGUUCUACACAAGUGGACUCACACUGUCCCCAUCCCCUCCCCUUUGCCAUACGUAGGUCAGGGUUGCACAACCAUGGUGCAUUAGAUGAGGGAGAUCAUGCAAACCCAAAGAUAAACAAGUCAGAGACAAAAUAUAGCACACAGCCCUGAACAAGCCCCUAGAGACCCAAGACAUGACCCAGUGCAGCAUCUCUCUGCUAAGCAAACUAAGAGCUAGGGCUUCUGCAUGCAUUGUCUUCACAGCCUUGGCAAUGACCCCCCAAAGGCAGGCCUUGUCAGCCCACUAAACAGAUUACUCGGGUGCCUGGGAUCGGGGUGAGUGAGGUGGCAAUUGAACCCAGAAACUGGGUGAUUGGGAUGAAAUGGGCUUUCUCACCAGCAGUCCCGUGAUCAGUGCAGCCAUGUUCAGUGGUUAGUUACACAGGUCAUGACAAGGUUCACUGACUCUCGUGAACCACCUGCUUUUAGGGCUCCAGAAGAUUCACCGGGAGCUCAUUACUUCCAAAGGCAAGGUCCUCGUAUGUCCAGAAAGACCAUUUUAGAGAAAGUCCUCAAACUAUGGAGGGAAAUGUGAAGCCCAGGAAUUCUGUUGCCCUGGGAAGCAGGGUUCUUGCCCCAACUGUUUAGAAUCAGACAGAAAGCCAAUGGGGAGGCUUGGAAUGACCACCAAGGUCAGACCAGACAGAACAACUUGCCUGGAGUCCAAGGUGAGGGAGCUCAUGCCUUGUUGCCACACCCGGGAGGACACGUGUGGUGGCUCUCUCACCCCCAUGCUUGGUUUGAAAUGAACAUUCUAGAAGAGGAGGAAUAGAUACCUAGUCUAGACCAGCUGUAUGUGACUGGAUUUUGCAAGGAGCCCCACACUAAGGCUGGAUACUUGCCUCACCCCAGCCAAGGAUGGAACAGAGUCAGGCCGUGAGCUGGGUCCUUCUGAAGGAAGAGGAGACUUGGCUCCAUGUCACAUGGAAACAUCUUCUAUUUGAGUAUCUUCCCCAAUCCUACAAGGUGAGCACAAUGACACCUGUUACAGGUAGAAGCAACAAGGCUCAGAGAAGUGACGGGCUGAGCAAGACCUUGCCGUUGGUGUGAGAUGGACCCCUGUUUCUGCCUCUAGAGCCUGGGCUGGUCUGCUGAAACGAGAGCCAACAGGACCUGAGUUGGUUUGUUGUCCUUGAGAGCUUCUGUGGUAGCUCUGGGCCUUCAUGCAUAGGCUCUGUUUUGGGCUGAACUUGGCAGAAGACAAACUAUCAUCCUAAUGUGA
This is a non-coding RNA of Myodes glareolus (Bank vole), 3093 nucleotides long. The record is from RefSeq and is a predicted model, not a curated record. Lineage: Eukaryota; Metazoa; Chordata; Mammalia; Rodentia; Cricetidae.